This 65-nucleotide transfer RNA is filed under the name Cordylochernes scorpioides. Its description in RNAcentral is "tRNA-OTHER". The record is from RNAcentral. Lineage: Eukaryota; Metazoa; Arthropoda; Arachnida; Pseudoscorpiones; Chernetidae.
UGCCGGGACCCGGAAUCGAACCAGGGUCUGCUAGUGUAGUGCUCUCCCAACUGAGCUAUCCCGAC